RNAcentral lists this ribosomal RNA (404 nucleotides) under uncultured bacterium. RNAcentral describes it as "bacterial SSU rRNA". It matches the Rfam family "Bacterial small subunit ribosomal RNA", at positions 362 to 757 of the family's 1533-position model. The record is from RNAcentral.
UUUUGGACAAUGGGCGCAAGCCUGAUCCAGCCAUUCCGCGUGAGUGAAGAAGGCCUUCGGGUUGUAAAGCUCUUUCGCAAGGGAAGAAAACUUACUUUCUAAUAAAGAGUGAGGUUGACGGUACCUUGAUAAGAAGCACCGGCUAACUACGUGCCAGCAGCCGCGGUAAUACGUAGGGUGCGAGCGUUAAUCGGAAUUACUGGGCGUAAAGCGUGCGCAGGCGGCUUUGUAAGUCAGAUGUGAAAUCCCCGAGCUCAACUUGGGAACUGCGUUUGAAACUACAAGGCUAGAAUAUGUCAGAGGGGGGUAGAAUUCCACGUGUAGCAGUGAAAUGCGUAGAGAUGUGGAGGAAUACCGAUGGCGAAGGCAGCCCCCUGGGAGUAAUAUUGACGCUCAUGCACGAG